This 253-nucleotide ribosomal RNA is filed under the name uncultured bacterium. Its description in RNAcentral is "partial 16S ribosomal RNA". It matches the Rfam family "Bacterial small subunit ribosomal RNA", at positions 524 to 776 of the family's 1533-position model. The record is from RNAcentral.
UACGUAGGGCGCAAGCGUUGUCCGGAAUCAUUGGGCGUAAAGAGCUCGUAGGCGGCCUGUUGCGUCCGCUGUGAAAUCCCGGGGCUUAACCCCGGGCGUGCAGUGGAUACGGGCUGGCUGGAGGCAGGCAGGGGAGAACGGAAUUCCCGGUGUAGCGGUGAAAUGCGCAGAUAUCGGGAGGAACACCGGUGGCGAAGGCAGUGUCCUGGGGAGUACCUGACGCUCAGGUGCGAAAGCCAGGGGAGCGAACGGG